AUUGAACGCUGGCGGAAUGCUUUACACAUGCAAGUCGAACGGCAGCACGGACUUCGGUCUGGUGGCGAGUGGCGAACGGGUGAGUAAUGUAUCGGAACGUGCCCAGUCGUGGGGGAUAACGUAGUGAAAAUUACGCUAAUACCGCAUACGAUCUAUGGAUGAAAGCGGGGGAUCGCAAGACCUCGCGCGAUUGGAGCGGCCGAUAUCAGAUUAGGUAGUUGGUGGGGUAAAGGCCCACCAAGCCAACGAUCUGUAGCUGGUCUGAGAGGACGACCGGGCACAGUGGAACUGAGACACGGUCCAGACUCCGACGGGAGGCAGCAGUGGGGAAUUUUGGACAAUGGGCGAAAGCCUGAUCCAGCCAUUCCGCGUGCAGGAUGAAGGCCCUCGGGUUGUAAACUGCUUUUGUACAGAACGAAAAGGUUUCUACUAAUACUAGGAGCUCAUGACGGUACUGUAAGAAUAAGCACCGGCUAACUACGUGCCAGCCGCCGCGGUAA
Molecule: ribosomal RNA, 500 nt
Filed under: uncultured bacterium
Lineage: Bacteria
Description: partial 16S ribosomal RNA
Rfam family: Bacterial small subunit ribosomal RNA
Source: RNAcentral